UACGUAGGGGGCAAGCGUUGUCCGGAUUUAUUGGGCGUAAAGAGCGUGUAGGCGGCUUUACAGGUCCGUUGUGAAAACUCGAGGCUCAACCUCGAGACGCCGGUGGAAACCGUAAAGCUAGAGUCCGGAAGAGGAGAGUGGAAUUCCUGGUGUAGCGGUGAAAUGCGCAGAUAUCAGGAAGAACACCCGUGGCGAAGGCGGCUCUCUGGGACGGUACUGACGCUGAGACGCGAAAGCGUGAGGAGCGAACAGG
RNAcentral lists this ribosomal RNA (253 nucleotides) under uncultured bacterium. RNAcentral's name for it is "partial 16S ribosomal RNA". It matches the Rfam family "Bacterial small subunit ribosomal RNA", at positions 524 to 776 of the family's 1533-position model. The record is from RNAcentral.